This 244-nucleotide ribosomal RNA is filed under the name uncultured bacterium. RNAcentral's name for it is "partial 16S ribosomal RNA". It matches the Rfam family "Bacterial small subunit ribosomal RNA", at positions 534 to 776 of the family's 1533-position model. The record is from RNAcentral.
GCAAGCGUUGUUCGGAAUUACUGGGCGUAAAGGGCUCGUAGGCGGCCAACUAAGUCAGACGUGAAAUCCCCAGGCUCAACCUGGGAACUGCGUCUGAUACUGGAUGGCUUGAGUUUGGGAGAGGGAUGCGGAAUUCCAGGUGUAGCGGUGAAAUGCGUAGAUAUCUGGAGGAACACCGGUGGCGAAGGCGGCAUCCUGGACCAACACUGACGCUGAGUGAGCGAAAGCCAGGGGAGCAAACGGG